CAGCCGCCGCGGUAAUACAGAGGGUGCGAGCGUUAAUCGGAUUUACUGGGCGUAAAGAGCUCGUAGGCGGUUUGUCGCGUCGUCUGUGAAAUUCUGCAGCUUAACUGUAGGCGUGCAGGCGAUACGGGCAGACUUGAGUACUACAGGGGAGACUGGAAUUCCUGGUGUAGCGGUGAAAUGCGCAGAUAUCAGGAGGAACACCGGUGGCGAAGGCGGGUCUCUGGGUAGUAACUGACGCUGAGGAGCGAAAGCGUGGGUAGCGAACAGGAUUAGAUACCCCUGUAGUCCCUGUCUCUUAUAC
This 301-nucleotide ribosomal RNA is filed under the name uncultured bacterium. RNAcentral's name for it is "partial 16S ribosomal RNA". It matches the Rfam family "Bacterial small subunit ribosomal RNA", at positions 509 to 807 of the family's 1533-position model. The record is from RNAcentral.